AUCAGAUGUGUGGUUUUGAGAUCCAUCCAGUUCAGAACAAGAUUCCUCAGCAUCUCUAAAGCCUGAAUCCAGAAUUAUUCAAGGCAAAGACAGGGCUGAGGUGUUGUGUGUACAUGUCUGACCUGCAGAUCAGGAUAACUGCAGAAAUGUUUAAACUGAUGCAGGUUAGCAG
Molecule: long non-coding RNA, 172 nt
Organism: Carassius carassius (crucian carp)
Lineage: Eukaryota; Metazoa; Chordata; Actinopteri; Cypriniformes; Cyprinidae
Exons: 3
Source: RefSeq, a predicted model, not a curated record